RNAcentral lists this ribosomal RNA (336 nucleotides) under Triticum aestivum (bread wheat). Its description in RNAcentral is "partial small subunit ribosomal RNA". Lineage: Eukaryota; Viridiplantae; Streptophyta; Magnoliopsida; Poales; Poaceae. The record is from RNAcentral.
AUGUCUUACCAUGUCAGUGAGACGAAGAUUGGCCCCUUGUCGCCUGAUUCUCAUCUUUUUGGUCGAUCCUCUGGUCAGUGCCUCUUCGGUCUAUGCCUGCUCGUCAUCUACAAGCAGCCUCGUUCAGCUGCCUUCGUCUGUGCAUAUCCUUUUCAUAUAACUGUUCAUCGGGGAAUGAGCUGGAAAUUAAUUGAAAUCUUCAGAGUUCACAAUUUGCCUUUUCAAUGCCCCGAAAUACUUCCAUCGUGGGCACAAGAAUGUCAGGAAGGGGUGGGGCUAACCCCUAUUUUGGUGACCAUCUCUUCAUGCCCUGUUGAAUAUAACUUCUCCACCUAA